ACUGGGGCGUCCCAUAUACUUGCCAAAAUAGAUUAAUAUUUUAUCAAUUUAGUCUGAUUUUAUUAAAAAAAAAUCAGAUUAAAAAGGUAAAAAUCCUUAUGAGAUAAGGAUGUGCCUUUUUAAGUUAAUUGGAUUCUUGAUUUAGAUCAAGGAAGGGCCUAUAUAAAGAGAAGUCUUCUAGGGUUUUAGAAGUUAGUUCUUAUUGAUUA
RNAcentral lists this long non-coding RNA (209 nucleotides) under Elaeis guineensis (African oil palm). RNAcentral describes it as "long non-coding RNA (EGUI_LNC021551)". The record is from RNAcentral. Lineage: Eukaryota; Viridiplantae; Streptophyta; Magnoliopsida; Arecales; Arecaceae.